GAUGAACGCUAGCGAUAGGCCUUACACAUGCAAGUCGAGGGGCAGCACGAGAGCGUAGCAAUACAAUUUUGGUGGCGACCGGCGCACGGGCGAGUAACGCGUAUGCAACCUACCUACUACUUUGGCAUAGCUCGUUGAAAGACGAAUUAAUACCUUAUAAAACAGGGGCUCCGCAUGGAGAUAUUUGUUAAAGAUUUAUCGGUAGUAGAUGGGCAUGCGUUCCAUUAGUUAGUUGGUGACGUAACGGCUCACCAAGACAACGAUGGAUAGGGGAACUGAGAGGUUUGUCCCCCACACUGGAACUGAGACACGGUCCAGACUCCUACGGGAGGCAGCAGUGAGGAAUAUUGGUCAAUGGAGGCAACUCUGAACCAGCCAAGUCGCGUGAAGGAUGACUGCCCUACGGGUUGUAAACUUCUUUUUUAAGGGAAUAAAGUGGGCCACGUGUGGCUUUUUGCAUGUACCUUACGAAUAAGGAUCGGCUAACU
RNAcentral lists this ribosomal RNA (488 nucleotides) under uncultured bacterium. Its description in RNAcentral is "SSU rRNA". It matches the Rfam family "Bacterial small subunit ribosomal RNA", at positions 28 to 502 of the family's 1533-position model. The record is from RNAcentral.